GAUGAACGCUGGCGGCGUGCCUAAUACAUGCAAGUCGAGCGAACAGACGAGGAGCUUGCUCCUCUGACGUUAGCGGCGGACGGGUGAGUAACACGUGGAUAACCUACCUAUAAGACUGGGAUAACUUCGGGAAACCGGAGCUAAUACCGGAUAAUAUAUUGAACCGCAUGGGUCACUAGUGAAAGACGGUUUUGCUGUCACUUAUAGAUGGAUCCGCGCCGCAUUAGCUAGUUGGUAAGGUAACGGCUUACCAAGGCAACGAUGCGUAGCCGACCUGAGAGCGUGAUCCGCCAGCCUGUAACUGAGACACGGCCCAGACUCCGACGGGGGGCAGCAGUAGGGAAUCUUCCGCGAGGCGCGAGAGCCUGACGGAGCAACGCCGCGUGAGUGAUGAAGGUCUUCGGAUCGUAAAACUCUGUUAUUAGGAAAGAACAAAUGUUUAAGUAACUAUGCACGUCUUGACGGUACCUAAUCAGAAAGCCACGGCUAACUACGUG
This 497-nucleotide ribosomal RNA is filed under the name uncultured bacterium. RNAcentral's name for it is "partial 16S ribosomal RNA". It matches the Rfam family "Bacterial small subunit ribosomal RNA", at positions 28 to 507 of the family's 1533-position model. The record is from RNAcentral.